GGAUGAACGCUAGCUACAGGCUUAACACAUGCAAGUCGAGGGGAAACGACAUCGAAAGCUUGCUUUUGAUGGGCGUCGACCGGCGCACGGGUGAGUAACGCGUAUCCAACCUGCCCACCACUUGGGGAUAACCUUGCGAAAGUAAGACUAAUACCCAAUGACGUCUCUAGAGGACAUCUGAAAGGGAUUAAAGAUUUAUCGGUGAUGGAUGGGGAUGCGUCUGAUUAGCUUGUUGGCGGGGUAACGGCCCACCAAGGCGACGAUCAGUAGGGGUUCUGAGAGGAAGGUCCCCCACAUUGGAACUGAGACACGGUCCAAACUCCUACGGGAGGCAGCAGUGAGGAAUAUUGGUCAAUGGGCGAGAGCCUGAACCAGCCAAGUAGCGUGCAGGAUGACGGCCCUAUGGGUUGUAAACUGCUUUUAUAAGGGAAUAAAGUGAGCCUCGUGAGGCUUUUUGCAUGUACCUUAUGAAUAAGGACCGGCUAAUUCCGUGCCAGCAGCCGCGGUAAUACGGAAGGUCCGGGCGUUAUCCGGAUUUAUUGGGUUUAAAGGGAGCGUAGGCCGGAGAUUAAGCGUGUUGUGAAAUGUAGACGCUCAACGUCUGCACUGCAGCGCGAACUGGUUUCCUUGAGUACGCACAAAGUGGGCGGAAUUCGUGGUGUAGCGGUGAAAUGCUUAGAUAUCACGAAGAACUCCGAUUGCGAAGGCAGCUCACUGGAGCGCAACUGACGCUGAAGCUCGAAAGUGCGGGUAUCGAACAGGAUUAGAUACCCUGGUAGUCCGCACGGUAAACGAUGGAUGCCCGCUGUUGGUCUGAAUAGGUCAGCGGCCAAGCGAAAGCAUUAAGCAUCCCACCUGGGGAGUACGCCGGCAACGGUGAAACUCAAAGGAAUUGACGGAAGG
This 903-nucleotide ribosomal RNA is filed under the name uncultured bacterium. RNAcentral's name for it is "bacterial SSU rRNA". It matches the Rfam family "Bacterial small subunit ribosomal RNA", at positions 27 to 920 of the family's 1533-position model. The record is from RNAcentral.